UACAGAGGGUGCGAGCGUUGUCCGGAAUCACUGGGCGUAAAGGGCGCGUAGGCGGCUUGAUAAGGUUGCGGUGAAAGCCCGGGGCUCAACCCCGGGUCGGCCGUGGCAACUGUCGAGCUGGAGCACUGUAGAGGCAGGUGGAAUUCCGGGUGUAGCGGUGGAAUGCGUAGAGAUCCGGAAGAACACCGGUGGCGAAGGCGGCAUCCUGGACCAACACUGACGCUGAGGAGCGAAAGCCAGGGGAGCAAACGGG
Molecule: ribosomal RNA, 253 nt
Filed under: uncultured bacterium
Lineage: Bacteria
Description: partial 16S ribosomal RNA
Rfam family: Bacterial small subunit ribosomal RNA
Source: RNAcentral